AGGUCUCUAGACACAAAGUUCCUUCCAAUGCCAGCUGGUACAAUCUCAUCUUCGGUUGGGGGUACAGAAUUCAGUGUGAAUGCCUUAAGGUAUGUAUGAAGGAAAUAUUAGCUUUCAUUUGAAAUAAUACUCCUUCAGAAGACAUCUAGUAAAAUUGAAGCAACAAUCAUGCUAUUCUUUUUUUUUUCCUUUCUUUUAUUAUCUUAAUGUUAUUGAUACGGCCAAAGACUUACAUCUGGUUAGGUUCAUAUUGGGGACUUGUGUUUUAUCUCACUCCUUUUAGCAUAAGAUGGUCCAGUACAGAUUAUGAUGCACAAAAGAAAUUUUACCAUUCCAUGACUGUUAAAUCCAAAAGCACAGCUUGGAAGCUCUCCUGCAUAUGUGUAAGCUAUGAAAGAUAAUCCAUUUGACAGUUUUCGCUUGAUCAAAUAGCUGCAAAUCCAGCAUAGACAUGAUUACAUUUUACGAGUAUCUAUUUAUCAUACAUAUUGCACUGUCUAGAAUCAGAGCAGGAUGCAGGAAACUAAAAGAGCAUACGUGUGGCCAACUAGAGCGACAUUUGCAUCCUCGUUAUGAGCUGCAAGGGCCAUCAAAUCGCUAACAACGAG
Molecule: long non-coding RNA, 608 nt
Filed under: Theobroma cacao (cacao)
Lineage: Eukaryota; Viridiplantae; Streptophyta; Magnoliopsida; Malvales; Malvaceae
Description: long non-coding RNA (TCAC_LNC002191)
Source: RNAcentral